GCUAAGCACUAAACACUGAGUGAACACUAUACAACACCCUCCGCCAGAGGAUUACAAAUGAAAAAUUUAAAACUCAAAGGACUUGACGGUGUCCCACAUCAACCUAGAGGAGCCUGUCCUAUAAUCGAUAACCCUCGCUUCACCCGACCUUAACUAGCCCACCCCAGCCUAUAUACCGCCGUCGACAGCUUACCCCAUGAGGGAUGAAUAGUAAGCAUAACAGGCCCCCCCUAGCACGUCAGGUCAAGGUGUAGCAAAUGUUAAGGAAGAGAUUGGCUACAUUUUUUAUAUUAAAAUACGAAAAGUACCAUGAAAUAGUACAUGAAGAUGGAUUUAGAAGUAAAAUAAAUUAGAGUGUUUAUUUUAAUACUGCUCUGGGACGCGUACACACCGCCCGUCACCCUCCUCAAUAAAAAAUUUUAUAUACAUAAAACACCCACCUAAGAUAGAGGAGGU
This 456-nucleotide ribosomal RNA is filed under the name Takydromus amurensis (Amur grass lizard). Its description in RNAcentral is "partial 12S ribosomal RNA". It matches the Rfam family "Bacterial small subunit ribosomal RNA", at positions 794 to 1450 of the family's 1533-position model. The record is from RNAcentral. Lineage: Eukaryota; Metazoa; Chordata; Lepidosauria; Squamata; Lacertidae.